GCUAGCAAAGGGGGCUGGCCAAGAGGUGUUCACCUGAACUCAAAGAGGAGUCCAACUCCUCUUCUUAUUCCAUGCCACAAACCAAAAAUAAGGCCCUUUUAAGAGUCCUAAUCUGAUUCUAAAUCAGUUAGGAUUGAUUUAUUUCGAUAUGAGAGAGAGAGGGAGAGUUCUAGGAGAAUGGAGCGCCAACUAUUGGCACCCCUUCUCUUAUUGCGCACGU
RNAcentral lists this long non-coding RNA (220 nucleotides) under Elaeis guineensis (African oil palm). RNAcentral describes it as "long non-coding RNA (EGUI_LNC033920)". The record is from RNAcentral. Lineage: Eukaryota; Viridiplantae; Streptophyta; Magnoliopsida; Arecales; Arecaceae.